UCUGGGAUAAAGAGAACAAAGAUGCGUGGUC
RNAcentral lists this non-coding RNA (31 nucleotides) under Homo sapiens (human). The record is from RNAcentral. Lineage: Eukaryota; Metazoa; Chordata; Mammalia; Primates; Hominidae.